GUUUCGGUGGUCAUAGCGUAGGGGAAACGCCCGGUUACAUUCCGAACCCGGAAGCUAAGCCUUACAGCGCCGAUGGUACUGCAGG
RNAcentral lists this ribosomal RNA (85 nucleotides) under Streptomyces viridiviolaceus. RNAcentral also lists the same sequence under 1 other name. The record is from RNAcentral. Lineage: Bacteria; Bacillati; Actinomycetota; Actinomycetes; Kitasatosporales; Streptomycetaceae.